This 253-nucleotide ribosomal RNA is filed under the name uncultured bacterium. RNAcentral describes it as "partial 16S ribosomal RNA". It matches the Rfam family "Bacterial small subunit ribosomal RNA", at positions 524 to 776 of the family's 1533-position model. The record is from RNAcentral.
UACGUAGGGUGCAAGCGUUAAUCGGAAUUACUGGGCGUAAAACGUGCGCAGGCGGUUAUGUAAGACAGAUGUGAAAUGCCCGGGCUUAACCUGGGAACUGCAUUUGUGACUGCAUGGCUAGAGUUUGGCAGAGGGGGGUAGAAUUCCACGUGUAGCAGUGAAAUGCGUAGAUAUGUGGAGGAACACCGAUGGCGAAGGCAGCCCCCUGGGUCAAGACUGACGCUCAUGCACGAAAGCGUGGGGAGCAAACAGG